Molecule: ribosomal RNA, 240 nt
Filed under: uncultured bacterium
Lineage: Bacteria
Description: partial 16S ribosomal RNA
Rfam family: Bacterial small subunit ribosomal RNA
Source: RNAcentral
UGGGUAACGUGCCCCAAUGACCGGGACAACCCGAGGAAACUCGGGCUAAUACCGGAUGUGCUGCAGAGUCGUAAGUCUCUGCAACAAAGGAAGCUUCGGCCUCCGCAUUGGGAGCGGCCCGCGGCCCAUUAGCUUGUUGGUGAGGUAACGGCUCACCAAGGCUGCGAUGGGGUAGCUGGCCUGAGAGGGUAACCGGCCACACUGGGACUGAGACACGGCCCAGACUCCUACGGGAGGNAG